RNAcentral lists this non-coding RNA (96 nucleotides) under uncultured Ruminococcus sp. RNAcentral's name for it is "THF riboswitch". It matches the Rfam family "THF (Tetrahydrofolate) riboswitch aptamer". From Rfam's summary of the family: THF riboswitch presents a pseudoknot that joins P1-P2 and the loop of P3 and two THF binding. Lineage: Bacteria; Bacillati; Bacillota; Clostridia; Eubacteriales; Oscillospiraceae. The record is from RNAcentral.
CAGAGUAGAAGCUGUGCGUAAAGUGCUUUCGAAACGGGGAGUUGUUCGAAAGACGAAGGAGAUUUUCUCUGCGGUACAGACUUCGCAUCCCGCUGU